Molecule: long non-coding RNA, 886 nt
Organism: Eublepharis macularius
Lineage: Eukaryota; Metazoa; Chordata; Lepidosauria; Squamata; Eublepharidae
Exons: 4
Source: RefSeq, a predicted model, not a curated record
CAGGGACAGUCUCAUGUCUUGAGGACCCCUGUGCAGAGAGUGAGGGAAGGCAGCCUGGUCUAGCUUGAUCUCGCCAGAUCUUGGAAACUGAGCAGGGGCUUGAAUGAGGGACUGCCAAGGAAGACUGUGGAGGAAGGCAAUGGCAAACCACCGCUGCUUUUUUCAUCUGCCUUGAAAGCCUCUUGAGGAGAGCGCAGGUUCCGAGGCACCUGACCCAACAAUGAGGCAAACAUUGAGUCACAAAGCUCUUCCUGCUUGUCAGUCACCUGACUUGGGCUACUAGAGUAAUGCCCAGGAGGGAUGUUGCAAUAAGAGAAGGAGGAAGAACCAUUAUAAACCAGCUAGGCAUACGGGAAAGCGGAGACACUGUCUGCAGGAAAGAAAGGGAGGAAGUCAGACUGUCCGUGACCUAAGGAAACAUGGUCUGAGUGAUCAUCAAUGCCUGCAGUUAUGUUUGGGCAAGAAUUACACGUGUGUGCUGCUGCAAAGGAGAGCAGGAAGAAACGGAUUCACCCCAAGCAAAGGAACAGGGUAUAAAUGGACCAGUACGCCAAACGUCACCUAGAGGGAGAGGGGCCGUACCCUAUCCAGUCCCAGAACGGCCCUGUGGAACAUGAGGAUAGUCUAGAAACCGUGAAGGGUUCUCUCUGGAACGGAAUCCUGCACUGCUCUCCUCUGACAAAUCAGGCCAUCACCUAAUUUGCAAGCAAAACUUCCUUUUGCAUCAUCACAGAGCACUAUGAAGACAGGUUCACAAACUCCCAUCCGAGUGGAGAUGAACUUGUCCAAAUGUCCCCCUGCCUGUGAUAAUCUUACAUUUUUAAAAUGCUGAAUCAGAGUGAAAAACAAGCAUACUGCAACCGUUAAAAAGAUUUUUUGAACUGCU